UGUCAACUUCUGAGAGUCAGGGCGGUUUGUUAAAUGGCCUGAUUGAAGCAAGAGCUGACUAAUGUACCACUGGAGACUUUGAAUCAAAGGAAUAAUCUGAAUUAAAUUUUUAAAAGAUCACUCUUACAGCUGUUUAGAGAGUGGAAGGAAGAAAGACAAGAGAGGAAACAGAUCAGUCUGGAAGCCACUGCAAAAUCCCUGUGAAAGAUGGUGAUGGCCUAGACCAGGGUAGGAAUGAUGGAGUUGACAGGAUUUGGUGAGGAAUGAGAUGUGAGGCAUGAGAUAAAGAAAGAAGUAUUAUAACAAUUUUAUUACAGCAAUUUUAUCAUCCAGCUUGUAAUUUUAUCCAUCCCACCAGCCAAGCCUAUGUUUCUAAGCAUAAAAAUCAGCAUAUAAAGAGUGUUUUUGUCGACUGCCAUAUAGCCAGGGACACAGUUACUAUAGCAGCCGAGCAAUUCUCUUUGGGUAGCCAGGUGGAAACCAAAUCGUCUUGACGAAUACCAGAGCUGAACAGGGAAAUUUUCUCCAAUACCGCAUGACAAACUUCAUAAUUGCCUUUUUUAACAAGAAUAUCUAAAUCAGGAUGCUAUGGCUUGGUACAUAAUUACAUUUUUCUGAAACCAACUCUGGUUUUCCAUUUUGCAGUUUGUAGUUUAUAGUGAGGGUUUUAUGGAUAUUGCUCUUCCACUAGACUUACUCUGUCACAUGUGAGGACAUCUCCUUCCUCAGCUGAGUGGGUGCUGGUCCUUGGAUUCCAGUGAUGGCUGAGGCCAAUGUACACUCCUCAUACUGAGCUAGGCAUUUUGUCUCAAAUCUAUACCUUCUCUCCCAACCUAUGAAACUAUCAGAUAAUCCUGGAACUUUAAGGCCCACCUGGCCUCCCUCUUGCCACUCUUCCUUCAAGCUUAAUUUGAAAGAGAGAUGAGAGUGAAAGAGAGAUAUUCACUCUCUUUCCCAUAUAGGUAACUCACUAAAACCAAAAUUUUCUACUGGAACAAAGUAUACCCAGCUCAGGAACUCUUGUGCAUUGUUGGUGGGAAUGUAAAUUGAUACAGCCAUUGUGGAAAGCAGUAUGGAAUUUCCAUAAAAAAUUAAAAGUAGAACUAUCAUAUGAUUCAGCAAUCCCACUUCUGAAUAUAUAUCCAAAGGAAAUGAAAUCAGUAUCUCAAAGAGAUACCUGCACUCCCACAUUCUUUGCAGCAUUAUUCACAACAGCCAAGAUAUGGAAUCAACCUAAGUGUCUAUACAUGGAUGAAUGGAUAAAGAAAAUGUGGUGUAUGGAAUACUAUUCAGCCUUUAAAACGAAAGAAAUCUUGCCAUUUGGGACAACAUGGAUGAAACUGGACGGCAUUAUGCUAAGUGAAACAAGUCAGAUACAGAAAGACAAAUACUGCAUGAUCUUACUUAUAUGUGGAAUCUAAAAAAGUCAAACUCAUAGAAGCAGAAUGCUGGAUGCCAGGGGCUGGGGAAUAGGGGAAACAGGGAGAUGUUGGUCAGAGCAUACAAGGUUUCAGUUAUGCAGGGUGGAAAAGUUCUGGAGAUCUAAUGUAUGGCAUAGUGAUUAUAGUUAAUAACACUGUAUUGUAUACUGAAAUUUGCUAAGAGAGUAGACCUUAAAUGUUCUCACCACAAAAAAUGAUAACUAUGUAAGGUGAUGGAUACGUAGCUCCAUUGUGGUAAUCAUUUCACAAUUUAUACCUAUAUCAAAACAACACAUUGUAUACCAUAAAUAUCUACAAUUUUUAUUUGUCAAUUAUAUCCCAAUAAAGCUGGGGAAAAUAAGUGCGCCAAGCUCAAAGCCAUUAGUCAGAUAACAAAUGAAGAAAGUCAGCCUCCAGGACUCUUACAGGAAUAACCCCCUCACUUCUCCCAUAAAAGCUUUAGUGUACAACUGCCAUGAUCUAGGUGACACAUUACCUUAUAGUGCACCCCACCCACAAUCUGCAUAUAUACAGAACCAUCUUUGUGCCUCUAUGUCUAUUGGGUCCACAAUGGUCCUUGAUAGGCAUCUGUGUUCCUCCUCUCUGAGAGAUCCAAAUGAGAGGGGACAAGCAGGUCCCAACACUGUGAUGAACUCAUUAUUACUAUUUUUGAUAUUCACCAUACAGCUUUGUCAACUUUUUAAAAUGCCUAAUGUCCACCUGCCAGCCAGGGAGGGAGCUGGUCUGGUAAACCAUAAUGAAGAACUAGCCUCUAAAGCUCAUGGCAUUGAUGUGAAAAAUCAUUGCAAACAUUCAUUAAACUCAUUAAAGUCCUAAGAAACUCAAGAGUACUCAAAAUAAAUUGCAUUUGGCACAAAGAUUUUAAGUAGAAAUUGCAUAGGAAAAGAGUUUGGAAUUGCUUGCAAUCCGUAGGAGGGCUAUAUUUCCUGAAUUUUAAGAAGAAAUCUCACAAAUGUUCAAGAGAGAUUUAUUGUCUGUGGUUUCUAUGCAGCUGGUAAGGGAUAGGUAAAUAAGAUGUCUUACUGGUGAGAAAGCUGUUACUUGUUUUCAUAUUCUUGCUAACUAUGAACACGCUAUCACAGUACAGUUAAAUCCACAUUUGGAGACACUAAGCAGGCACAAAACCUGCAUGAUGCAAUCACACUCCUCAGGGAGGUGAUUCUGCUUCUCGCUACAUCCCUCACGAUUCUCUUUUCCUUCCUGUUCAGGGAAACAUGUACCACUUAGCCUCUCCCACUUCAUCAGAGGGUAGGUGGCCCUAAAUGUUUUGUCUACAACUGCAAGAAUCCAGAUAAACAAAAGGACUAAUGUCACAGGUUUUCAAAACAGCCUAAUACUCUCUGGAAACAAUAUCAUUAAGACAGCCCUUCAAGGAUCCAUUGUUGCUGGAUCUCAGAUAGGAGAGAAGAGAGAAAUUCUCCAACAUCUUUUGAGAAAUUCAAACUAUAUUUGUCUAAUGCUCUCUUGAGAUAAACAUUUAAGGAGCCAGGAAAUGUAAAGUUCUACUAUCAUUUGCCAUAGGACUUUAAGUUCCAUUCUUGACCUCUGCGUAUCCACUGCUUCCAUGGUGAUCAGUUGUGUGUGUUUCUGUUUCUCCUCCUUGAGGGGGUCAGAGUGAAGGAGGGACAAGGAGGUGCCAACACCCUGUCCACUUAAUUUUUCUGUUGAUUCUCACCAUGUAGCAUUGAGUACACUAGGCCUAGAGAGUAUAGAAGGAGAUAAAGGCUUAUAUUUUAGAAAAUAAAAGAUAAGAAAUGCUUCGCAAAUUUGCUUAAACACUCAAAAUCAACAGAUUUUUGGAAAAACGUUUUAAAACAUACAAAAUACAUACCUGACUUCUAACUCUGCCUCUUACACAUUUCUCCCAGUGUGUCCCUCAGCACCUCUGUCUUGACAUGUUCAAAACCAAACCUUGUAUUUUUUUCUCCAUGAACAAAGCCUUCCUUCUAAGUUCCCUUACUCAGCAUUUAUUUCACUAGGCCAAUCCCAGCAUUGUCCUGUACUCCUCUCUCUCCCCUCUACUUCAUCCAAUCACUCAAUAAGUCAUAGAAAUCCUGCCUGUAAUAAUCUCUCAAAUUUGCUCAUUCUUUUCAUUUCCACCAUCACUGCUAGACCUUUAUCUUCUCUCAUUUGGAUUAUAGAGAACCUCCUGAAUAGACUCGCUGCCACCUGUCUUUCAUUUUCCACCAAUCCAUCUAGCACAGCUGCCAGAAUUACUUGCUGAAACACUUAUCUGACAAUGCCAUUCGUUGACUUAAAAACUGACUUGUUGCCUAUAAGAUAAACUCAAAGUCAUUUCAACAACCAUUUUUUUAGUAUCUACUAUUAUAAGCCAUGUAGUCUAUUAAGGACAAUGAACACAAAGAUGAAAAAGCAUGGACUCUUAAGGUGCCCACAGUGGACUUCCAGGAGAGUCAGACAUAUCGAUAGCUAUUUACAAUGCAAUGCAAUAUGUGCAACCACAAAAUUGUGCACUAGGUACAGAAGCAGCAUGCGGGGGGGGCGGCGAGUGGUCACUUAUUUUAGGGGCUUCAGAAUGGAAAGAUAUCUGAGCUUGGGAUGGGUAUGCCAAGUAAAUGAAAUGGCAUAUUCAAAGCACAUAAGAAUAAAGCAGCAUGCCAGGACCUGCUAGUUGCAAUUAUUUUCAUCUAUGGGAAUGUUGAUAUCAAGAACUAAGGCAGAGAACACUGGAAUAUGAAUAGUUCUUGGGUGUGUUGGGGGGAUGGUGAUAAUGGUGUGGCAGGAGGGCAGCAAGUGGUCAAGACACAAGAACAGUGGAUGAGGGUGGAGCUGUUUAGGUUGAAAUUUCCAAGUGCAGGUCUCAGUUGAGGGGAGAGUUGGGGCCAGAAAUAAAAAUAUAGUCAUUAAAACCAUGGAAAUAGGCUAAGUUGUCUAGAGAAACGACACAAUGUCAGAAGACAUUUGGAGGACUCAGAGUAUAACCCACUCAAGAAAAUUAAGAUGAGACCUUCAAAAGUAAGAAGGGGCUUCCCUGAUGGAGCAGUGGUUAACAGAAUCCACCUGCCAAUGCAGGAGACACGGGUUCAAGCACUGGUCCGGGAAGAUUCCCACAUGCCGGGGAGCAACUAAGCCCAUGCUCCACAACUACUGAAGCCCACGCGCCUAGAGUCCGUGCUCCGCAAUAAGAAAAGCCACCGCCAUGAGAAGCCUGCACACCACAACAAAGAGCAGCCCCCGCUCGCCACAACUAGAGAGAGCCCGUGCAGAGCAACGAAGACACAACGUAGCC
Molecule: long non-coding RNA, 4692 nt
Filed under: Phocoena sinus (vaquita)
Lineage: Eukaryota; Metazoa; Chordata; Mammalia; Artiodactyla; Phocoenidae
Description: lncRNA (ENSPSNG00000001162.1)
Source: RNAcentral